CGAUGCGGAGCGAAAUUUAGUAGCGAAGUAGCUGAUUUCACACUGUCGAGAAAAGUCUCUAUCGAGGUUAAAGGUGCCUGUACCGCAAACCGACACAGGUGGGUGAGGAGAGUAUCCUAAGGCCAGCGAGAGAACUGUUGUUAAGGAACUCGGCAAAAUGACCCCGUAACUUCGGGAGAAGGGGUGCCUUCGAAAGAAGGCCGCAGAGAAUAGGCCCAAGCGACUGUUUACCAAAAACAUAGGUUUCUGCUAAGUCGCAAGACGAUGUAUAGGAGCUGACGCCUGCCCGGUGCUGGAAGGUUAAGGUGAUCUGUUAGAGCAAUCGAAGCAGUGAACUUAAGCCCCAGUAAACGGCGGCCGUAACAAUAACGGUCCUAAGGUAGCGAAAUUCCUUGUCGGGUAAGUUCCGACCCGCACGAAAGGCGUAACGAUUUGGGCACUGUCUCAACAACAGACUCGGUGAAAUUGUAAUACCGGUGAAGAUGCCGGUUACCUGCGACAGGACGGAAAGACCCCAUGGAGCUUUACUGUAGCUUGACAUUGAGUCUCGGUGCUACAUGUACAGGAUAGGUGGGAGACUAUGAAGCAUGGACGUCAGUCUGUGUGGAGUCAUCCUUGGGAUACCACCCUUGUAGUACUGGGAUUCUAACCAGAGGCCUUGAAUCUGGUCUUGGGACACUGUCAGGUGGACAGUUUGACUGGGGCGGUCGCCUCCCAAAAAGUAACGGAGGCGCUCAAAGGUUCUCUCAGUACGGUCGGAAAUCGUACGAAGAGUGUAAAGGCAAAAGAGAGCUUGAUUGCAAGACAUACAGGUCGAGCAAGGACGAAAGUCGGACUUAGUGAUCCGGUGGUUCCGCAUGGAAGGGCCAUCGCUCAACGGAUAAAAGCUACCCUGGGGAUAACAGGCUGAUCUCCCCCAAGAGUCCACAUCGACGGGGAGGUUUGGCACCUCGAUGUCGGCUCAUCACAGCCUGGGGCUGUAGUAGGUCCCAAGGGUUGGGCUGUUCGCCCAUUAAAGUGGUACGCGAGCUGGGUUCAGAACGUCGUGAGACAGUUCGGUCCCUAUCCGUCGCAGGCGUAGGAAAUUUGAGGAGACCUGUCCUUAGUACGAGAGGACCGGGAUGGACGUACCGCUGGUGUACCAGUUGUUCUGCCAAGGGCAUGGCUGGGUAGCUAAGUACGGAAAGAAUAAGCGCUGAAAGCAUCUAAGCGCGAAGCCCA
RNAcentral lists this ribosomal RNA (1221 nucleotides) under metagenome. RNAcentral's name for it is "bacterial LSU rRNA". It matches the Rfam family "Bacterial large subunit ribosomal RNA", at positions 1564 to 2796 of the family's 2925-position model. The record is from RNAcentral.